RNAcentral lists this non-coding RNA (425 nucleotides) under Lachnospiraceae bacterium. Its description in RNAcentral is "T-box sequence". It matches the Rfam family "T-box leader". Rfam says of the family: Uncharged tRNA acts as the effector for transcription antitermination of genes in the T-box leader family. The record is from RNAcentral. Lineage: Bacteria; Bacillati; Bacillota; Clostridia; Lachnospirales; Lachnospiraceae.
UGAAAAGCAUAGAAAAGGAAGAGUAGCUGUAAAGGAACUUACAGAGAGCCAUUGGCGGUGGAAAAUGGCAGUGGCAAUACAGUGAACUGGCCUUGGAGCUUCCGGCUGAACCGUGCGCCCUCCAUCCAUAAGGCGGCAGGGCAGGAACCCUAAAAUACACUGAUGCAGCCUGUGGUUACAGGCAUGUAGGCCUUGGCGGCAGCAUCAUGGCAGAUAUGCAGCGAUAAGCUGCCUGCUGUUAUGGGCAUGCAGUAGGAAUGGGUGUUAUUUUUCACAUUGCUAUGUGGAAAUUGGGUUCGGAAAGCAGGCAGUAAGCCCGGACGGGUUCUCCCGUUACAGAGAUAGGCAUGGAAGUGCCGAUAAGUGCAUGUGGAAACAUGAAGCAGAGUGGUACCGCGCAGGAUGUAAUAUCUUUCGUCUCUAUU